Molecule: ribosomal RNA, 253 nt
Filed under: uncultured bacterium
Lineage: Bacteria
Description: partial 16S ribosomal RNA
Rfam family: Bacterial small subunit ribosomal RNA
Source: RNAcentral
GACGUAGGGGGCAAGCGUUGUUCGGAAUUAUUGGGCGUAAAGCGCUCGUAGGCGGGACAGGAAGUUCGUGUUGAAAGACCUCGGCUCAACUGAGGGACCGGCUCGAAUACUCUUGUUCUUGAGGCAAUCAGAGGGUGAUGGAAUUCCCGGUGUAGCGGUGAAAUGCGUAGAUAUCGGGAGGAAUACCUAUGGCGAAAGCAGGCUUCUGGUCCAUCACUGACGCUGAUCUGCGAAAGCUAGGGGAGCAAACAGG